ACUACCUCGUUGCUUUGGCGGGACCGCUCGGUCUCGAGCUGCUGGUCUUCGGCCCGGCAAGUGCCCGCCAGAGUCUACUCAAACUCUUGUUUUAACCGGUCGUCUGAGUUAAACUUUUAAUUAAAUUAAAACUUUCAACAACGGAUCUCUUGGUUCUCGCAUCGAUGAAGAACGCAGCGAAAUGCGAUAAGUAAUGUGAAUUGCAGAAUUCAGUGAAUCAUCGAAUCUUUGAACGCACAUUGCGCUCCCUGGUAUUCCGGGGAGCAUGCCUGUUCGAGCGUCAUUACACCACUCAAGCACUGCUUGGUAUUAGGCCAUCGUCCCCCGCAAGGUGGGCGUGCCUCAAACACCUCGGCGGAGCCUCACCGGCUUUGGGCGUAGUAGAAUUUCUCAACGUCUUAUAAGUACCGGUCUGACUCUUUUGCCGCUAAACACCAAACUUUUAAAGGUUGACCUCGGAUCAGGUAGGGAUACCCGCUGAACUUA
RNAcentral lists this ribosomal RNA (486 nucleotides) under Ascomycota sp. PIMO_6. RNAcentral describes it as "eukaryotic LSU rRNA". The stretch from base 130 to 283 matches the Rfam family "5.8S ribosomal RNA". Lineage: Eukaryota; Fungi; Ascomycota. The record is from RNAcentral.